AACGAACGCUGGCGGCAGGCCUAACACAUGCAAGUCGAGCGCGCCCUUCGGGGUGAGCGGCGGACGGGUGAGUAACGCGUGGGAACGUGCCCUUCUCUGCGGAAUAGCCUCGGGAAACUGAGAGUAAUACCGCAUACGCCCUUUGGGGGAAAGAUUUAUCGGAGAAGGAUCGGCCCGCGUUGGAUUAGGUAGUUGGUGGGGUAAUGGCCCACCAAGCCGACGAUUCAUAGCUGGUUUGAGAGGAUGAUCAGCCACACUGGAACUGAGACACGGCCCAGCCUCCUACGGGAGGCAGCAGUGGGGAAUCUUAGACAAUGGGGGCAACCCUGAUCGAGCCAUGCCGCGUGAGUGAUGAAGGCCUUAGGGUUGUAAAGCUCUUUCAGCUGGGAAGAUAAUGACGGUACCAGCAGAAGAAGCCCCGGCUAACUCCGUG
RNAcentral lists this ribosomal RNA (433 nucleotides) under uncultured bacterium. Its description in RNAcentral is "partial 16S ribosomal RNA". It matches the Rfam family "Bacterial small subunit ribosomal RNA", at positions 29 to 507 of the family's 1533-position model. The record is from RNAcentral.